UACGAAGGGGGCUAGCGUUGCCCGGAAUCACUGGGCGUAAAGGGUGCGUAGGCGGGUCUUUUAAGUCAGGGGUGAAAUCCUGGAGCUCAACUCCAGAACUGCCUUUGAUACUGAGGAUCUUGAGUUCGGGAGAGGUGAGUGGAACUGCGAGUGUAGAGGUGAAAUUCGUAGAUAUUCGCAAGAACACCAGUGGCGAAGGCGGCUCACUGGCCCGAUACUGACGCUGAGGCACGAAAGCGUGGGGAGCAAACAGG
Molecule: ribosomal RNA, 254 nt
Filed under: uncultured bacterium
Lineage: Bacteria
Description: partial 16S ribosomal RNA
Rfam family: Bacterial small subunit ribosomal RNA
Source: RNAcentral